GUGAAGAGGGGUAGGACACCAAAAUAUGUAAGUCCAAUUUUACCCUCACUACUUUCGACAAAUUACAACAAAUACUAUUCUCUCUCAUAGACAGAAAACCGUUCACAAACCAGAUUAUCAACUCAAUAAUGCAUAACUGAAUAUAGAGAAGAAACCGCUUCGGGUCCAAUCUUCAUCAUUCAUUUGCUUUCCCUACUACAUUAUUCUCUCUAAUAUUCUUUCUCCUUACUCUCUCAAUGUCAAAAUUAAAUUUGGUAGAAGAAAAUUGUUAUAGCCUUCUUUUGUUGUUUUUCCUCUUUCAUCUUUCAGUGUAAAUUUUUUUUAAAAAAAUUACAUAACCAAGAUGUCUCUCCUCUUUCUGCAUUUCUUUAUUUUUAUACUUCAAUUUUGAAUUUAGGAGUAUAAUUUUGGUUGGUUGAGGGAUUGAUUCUUGAAAUUUUGGGUUUGAUUUGUUAGUCCUGAUGUUUUUCUCGAUCUUUUAAAGUACAUUCAUGACAAAUUUAUUUGAUCAUUUGUUGUGCUUUUUUGUAUAUAUGAUUUGCAUUUUUUUUUUUUUCAGGUAGCGUACUUAAUAUUUGAAGGUGUUUUUCUACCAAGGCCUACAGCUCCCACAAAAGAAACUAUCUAGAUUUUGGUAGCACUAUUGCAGUGGAAAAGAAUUUGGUUUUAGUGGAAGUUUGGAAGAGUGGAAGAAUUGGGCAAUUUGGCUUCUUCUGUUCUUUAAUUGGAAACAUGGAGAAGUUUGGCUAUUGGAAGAAUUGAGAGUAUUUGGCUUUUCGGCGGUUCAACUUCUUCAUGGCUCACACUUUAAAAUUCAGGCUUUUAGCAAUGCAUUAGAUUUUGGCAAAUUUUGUGCAUCAGUGCAUGUGUGUGAUUUUCCGGCAUCUGAGGUUCCUAUAUUGGAGAAAAAAUGGUACUCUCAGUGACUUCAGCAAUUGAGACCUCUCGCUACAGGAAAGUUUGGUCAUGUCUACUUGGCAAGAGAGAAGAAUGGUACUCCAUCUUCAAGUUUUGUUCUUCGCCACUUCAAGAACUCUUUUAUUAAGUGUAUUUUGAAUUCUUGAUAUUUAACUUAUAUUGGCUUUUUUUUACCUACAAAUAUAUUAUACUCUAUAUUUAA
Long non-coding RNA from Beta vulgaris subsp. vulgaris (sugar beet), 1120 nucleotides. RefSeq lists it as uncharacterized. The transcript is spliced from 2 exons. The record is from RefSeq and is a predicted model, not a curated record. Lineage: Eukaryota; Viridiplantae; Streptophyta; Magnoliopsida; Caryophyllales; Amaranthaceae.